RNAcentral lists this ribosomal RNA (254 nucleotides) under uncultured bacterium. RNAcentral describes it as "partial 16S ribosomal RNA". It matches the Rfam family "Bacterial small subunit ribosomal RNA", at positions 524 to 776 of the family's 1533-position model. The record is from RNAcentral.
UACGGGGGGGGCAAGCGUUGUUCGGAUUUACUGGGCGUAAAGGGCGCGUAGGCGGCCACCGCAAGUCGACUGUGAAAUCUCUGGGCUUAACCCAGAACGGUCAGCCGAUACUGCGGGGCUAGAGUGCAGAAGGGGCAACUGGAAUUCUCGGUGUAGCGGUGAAAUGCGUAGAUAUCGAGAGGAACACCUGCGGCGAAGGCGGGUUGCUGGGCUGACACUGACGCUGAGGCGCGAAAGCUAGGGGAGCGAACGGG